UGUUUUAACGCUUCUGGUAGCAAGAAGAAAAGAACAACAACGUGAAUCUCUCUCUUAGCUUCUCUCCUCCGCUCGGAACGGCAACAUCAACGGCGAAGCUUUUUUUCUCAAAUUCGUGAUGCUCUCUCUCGUGUUCUUCUGCUCUCGGCUUGUUCUCACUUGUUAUCUCUUGCUCUCUCGGUUUCUUUUUCUCGGAACAAACACAACAGCAACUCAAUCGGUGAACGAGAACAACUCCUCUCACUCGCAGCAAAUUAACAGGGAUAUGAGGGUGAAAUCGAAUUACCUGCGGCGAGGAGGCUUUCGCCGGUUUAUUGUUGAGGUGAUCAAUGACCUUCGGCGAUGUUGUUAUUGCAACAGUUGUUGCAGAAUUUUUGAACCCUCUGCUUGCUGCUAGUUGUUAACAACCUUGAAUGGCUUUUGAUGAAGGUGAUGCCAUAACACCUCUUUGGAUUGUGGGAGACUUGAAGAUGAACUUCAAGUUGUUGGAAGCUUGAAGAUGAAGAUCUUCAAGAAAGGUAUGAAGAACUACCUUUUCCUUCUUCCUUACUUUGUAACUAGAAUGCUCACCUCCAAUAGAGAAUCUCUUGGCUUGAGAAUUUCUUCUUGCCAAGAGGUCUAUUGAACAAUAUAUAAGCAAUAGAGAGAAGAGAGAAAGCAAGAAUUUAAGUUGCUUUGGUGUAACAAAUACUAUGGAGAGCCCUUAUAUUUAUAGGCAAAAAUUAGGAUAUGUUAGGUAUUAUGUAACUUUGUAGCCAAGUUUGUGAUCAUGGCAAGAAAGGAAUAUUCCCUUUAGGCUAAUCAUUACCAAGCUUUCUUAGUUGUUGAAUUUUCUUGGUGGCCAAGUAUCACAAAUUGUGCACAUGGAAAUAUGCACAUGGGAUGGAAAGAUUCUUUUAUAACUUCUUGCAAGUUCUACGACAUGUGCUUUCUCUUAUGUCAUAAAGUUAGUAACUUCAAUGUGUAGUAGUUAUGACAUAAGAUAUCUUUCUUUGACUUUCUUUGACUUUUUGACUUUUUGAAUUCUUUGACUUUCUUUGACUUUCUUUGACUUUUUGACAUUUGAAUUUUUGCUAAUUUCACCCCUUUUAUGUUUCUUUUUUUUUUCCAUGUCACAUGAGGACUUUUGUAGAAAACAUGAAGAAGGAGACUUGGACAUCAAGAAUGGAUACUUGAAGAUUUCAAGAAUGAAUUCAAGAAAGUCUUGAAACUUUAUUUUUUUCAUUUGUUCUUGUAAUUCCAAUAGAAUUUGUAUGAACUUGUAUUCUUGGAAAUAAAUGGGACUUUGAAUGUUGUA
This is a long non-coding RNA of Vicia villosa (hairy vetch), 1297 nucleotides long. RefSeq lists it as uncharacterized. NCBI's taxonomy places the organism in Eukaryota, Viridiplantae, Streptophyta, Magnoliopsida, Fabales, Fabaceae. The record is from RefSeq and is a predicted model, not a curated record. The transcript has 4 exons.